RNAcentral lists this non-coding RNA (27 nucleotides) under Mus musculus (house mouse). Lineage: Eukaryota; Metazoa; Chordata; Mammalia; Rodentia; Muridae. The record is from RNAcentral.
UGUACUCUGAGCAGAACCUCUAAGAAU